RNAcentral lists this ribosomal RNA (495 nucleotides) under uncultured bacterium. RNAcentral describes it as "partial 16S ribosomal RNA". It matches the Rfam family "Bacterial small subunit ribosomal RNA", at positions 30 to 507 of the family's 1533-position model. The record is from RNAcentral.
UGAACGCUGGCGGCGUGCCUAAUACAUGCAAGUCGAGCGAACAGAUGCGGAGCUUGCUCCUCUGACGUUAGCGGCGGACGGGUGAGUAACACGUGGAUAACCUACCUAUAAGACUGGGAUAACUUCGGGAAACCGGAGCUAAUACCGGAUAAUAUAUUGAACCGCAUGGUUCAAUAGUGAAAGACGGUUUUGCUGUCACUUAUAGAUGGAUCCGCGCCGCAUUAGCUAGUUGGUAAGGUAACGGCUUACCAAGGCAACGAUGCGUAGCCGACCUGAGAGGGUGAUCGGCCACACUGGAACUGAGACACGGUCCAGACUCCUACGGGAGGCAGCAGUAGGGAAUCUUCCGCAAAGGGCGAAAGCCUGACGGAGCAACGCCGCGUGAGUGAUGAAGGUCUUCGGAUCGUAAAACUCUGUUAUUAGGGAAGAACAAAUGUGUAAGUAACUAUGCACGUCUUGACGGUACCUAAUCAGAAAGCCACGGCUAACUACGUG